GCUAAACGCGAAGAACCUUACCUGGCCUUGACAUGUCCGGAAUUCUGCAGAGAUGCGGAAGUGCCUUCGGGAACCGGAACACAGGUGCUGCAUGGCUGUCGUCAGCUCGUGUCGUGAGAUGUUGGGUUAAGUCCCGCAACGAGUGCAACCCUUGUCCUUAGUUGCCAGCGAGUAAUGUCGGGAACUCUAAGGAGACUGCCGGUGACAAACCGGAGGAAGGUGGGGAUGACGUCAAGUCCUCAUGGCCCUUACGGCCAGGGCUACACACGUACUACAAUGGUCGGUACAGAGGGUUGCCAAACCGCAAGGUGGAGCCAAUCCCAGAAAGCCGAUCCCAGUCCGGAUCGGAGUCUGCAACUCGACUCCGUGAAGUCGGAAUCGCUAGUAAUCGCGGAUCAGCUAUGCCGCGGUGAAUACGUUCCCGGGUCUUGUACACACCG
This 440-nucleotide ribosomal RNA is filed under the name uncultured bacterium. Its description in RNAcentral is "bacterial SSU rRNA". It matches the Rfam family "Bacterial small subunit ribosomal RNA", at positions 954 to 1392 of the family's 1533-position model. The record is from RNAcentral.